CGGGACGGGUGAGUAAUGUCUGGGAAACUGCCUGAGGGAGGGGGAUAACUACUGGAAACGGUAGCUAAUACCGCAUAACGUCGCAAGACCAAAGAGGGGACCUUAGGGCCUCUUGCCAUCGGAUGUGCCCAGAUGGGAUUAGCUAGUAGGUGGGGUAACGGCUCACCUAGGCGACGAUCCCUAGCUGGUCUGAGAGGAUGACCAGCCACACUGGAACUGAGACACGGUCCAG
RNAcentral lists this ribosomal RNA (232 nucleotides) under uncultured bacterium. Its description in RNAcentral is "partial 16S ribosomal RNA". It matches the Rfam family "Bacterial small subunit ribosomal RNA", at positions 100 to 334 of the family's 1533-position model. The record is from RNAcentral.